GACGAACGCUGGCGGCGUGCCUAAUACAUGCAAGUUGAGCGCUGAAGGUUGGUACUUGUACCAACUGGAUGAGCAGCGAACGGGUGAGUAACGCGUGGGGAAUCUGCCUUUGAGCGGGGGACAACAUUUGGAAACGAAUGCUAAUACCGCAUAAAAACUUUAAACACAAGUUUUAAGUUUGAAAGAUGCAAUUGCAUCACUCAAAGAUGAUCCCGCGUUGUAUUAGCUAGUUGGUGAGGUAAAGGCUCACCAAGGCGAUGAUACAUAGCCGACCUGAGAGGGUGAUCGGCCACAUUGGGACUGAGACACGGCCCAAACUCCUACGGGAGGCAGCAGUAGGGAAUCUUCGGCGAUGGACGAAAGUCUGACCGAGCAACGCCGCGUGAGUGAAGAAGGUUUUCGGAUCGUAAAACUCUGUUGGUAGAGAAGAACGUUGGUGAGAGUGGAAAGCUCAUCAAGUGACGGUAACUACCCAGAAAGGGACGGCUAACUACGUG
Molecule: ribosomal RNA, 497 nt
Filed under: uncultured bacterium
Lineage: Bacteria
Description: partial 16S ribosomal RNA
Rfam family: Bacterial small subunit ribosomal RNA
Source: RNAcentral